Molecule: transfer RNA, 93 nt
Filed under: Blattabacterium sp. (Cryptocercus punctulatus) str. Cpu
Lineage: Bacteria; Pseudomonadati; Bacteroidota; Flavobacteriia; Flavobacteriales; Blattabacteriaceae
Description: tRNA-Gly
Rfam family: tRNA (bases 21-93)
About the family: Transfer RNA (tRNA) molecules are approximately 80 nucleotides in length.
Source: RNAcentral
UUAACAUUAUUUUCGAAUUCGCGAGAAUAGCUCAGUUGGUAGAGUACGACCUUGCCAAGGUCGGAGUCGCGGGUUCGAAUCCCGUUUCUCGCU